ACCAUUAGCACUUGCUCAUCAUGUCUAUUACUGUACACAAAUGACUGCAAUUCCCACUCGCAGUCUGUAAGGAUGUUUCAAUUUUCUGAUAACUCCACAAUAAUGGCUUUGAUUUCUUACAAAGGUAGAAUAGCUAAUGGAAGUGAGAUCUCAUUUUUAGUAAACUGGUAUGAGGCAAACAACCUGGAAUUGAUUGUUUCCCAAACCAAGGAAACAUUAGUAGACUUUUACAGGAGCUGUGGGGUCCACCUACACUUGGUUAUCAACAACACUGAAAUGCGACAGCCAGAAAUUUCUGCGAGUGACCAUCUCCUCCACAUUCAGAUGGGGGGAAAAACACCAGUACUAAAGGACCCUUCUCAUCCAGCUACUAAUCUUUUAAUGCCCUCCCUUUUCACAAAUGUUUAAGAAGCAUUGAAACUAGAACAUCCACACUCUAGAACAGCGCAUAUCCUGGAGCUGUCAGUCUCCUUCACACUCAAAACUUAGCAAUACAGACCACUCAGUAGGGUUAAUAAUUGUCUAAUGACUGAAAUGUUUAAGUAUUUGAAUCAAUUUAUCAGUGGAUUGUUCUAAUUUCAACCACUUGUAUUUGCUAUUAUUUUCCUUACAGCUUCUGGUGUUCUAUCUAUGGCCUUCAUUUGUGUUUGAUUUUAUUCUACAUAUUUGCUUUCAUUAUUAUUUUAUGGGUUGGAUGUGUUUCAUACUUUUUAAUGUAUUGUGCUGAGUGGUUCGGUUAGUUUAAUUGAGCUCACAAACACAAAUUUUCGCGAAACUACCCAAGGUAGACGUCACCAGAAAAGCUUAGGCCGAAAAGAAAGUAAAAAUGGCGCAAUUUGGACACAAAUGGAAAUAUAAUAAGCUUUUGUUUACCACACCAUAUUGAAAGGUAAACAAAACACUGUCCUCUUAAAGCGGAGAUAAAAAGCAGAGAGACCUUGUUGAGAGUUGUGUUUUCAUGGCUGGUGUCCACCUGAGUUUAUGCCAAUCGCCAUAUCACUUUUUCAAUUAUGUACGACUCGCAUUGACAGGGGAAUAUCCAAUUUGUCUGUUUACAUAGCAGACGCAAAUGCACAUAUCUAAUUCAUAUCAGAUUUAUUUCCAAAUAUGAAUGAGGCCUGAAACGGAUCUGAGAAUAUUGGAAUCCUUGUGCUUUUUCCUGUUUACACGCUCAUGGGUCAUAUCUAAUCUGUGCCACAUGGAAGGAAAACAUUGGAAUUGGGUCACCUGAGCCAUGUAAUGUAAAUGCAGCCUUAAACUCAGGCGGACCUGGUACCAAAUGACGUCAUUGCACAUCCCCUUUUAAUGUUUAAAACCCACAGCGUACCCAGCUGACCAUGUUUUAUAUUGUUGUAAAGGUUAGAGUCCCUACGUUUCAUAGAAGUGCUUUCACAUUAAUCUCUCUCUCAUUAAUCAUAACAGAAAACAACAUUUUAGGCUUAUAAGCUUCACAUCCACCUAAAAUUAUGGAUGUGUGUGGAGAUAUGUUCAUAGAAACCAUAUAUCUUUCAGUCUUUUUUCACUACAAAAUAGUAAAUAGAUGUUUUUUAUGCGCAUCAUGAAUCAUCUAUUUUACCUUUCUGUGCAAAGAAAUUUUAAAAUAAAAAAUUUACAUUGCUUGAAAAAAAAAAACUAAAGAGGAUAAAUAAAAUAAAAAGAAAAAACACCACGCCCUUUUUGAUGACCUCUCUCCGACUCGACUCCGCCCACUUCCUGCUGAGAUGAUCACUUGUGGGUAAAGCAUCAAGCUUUAAAGAGUUCAGGUAAGAUUAAUGAUAAAACUCAAAGCACGUGGCUACUCUUUAGGUCUAGAAACUGUUUUAGCAAAGUUUAAUUUUAUAUUACAUUGGUUAUAAAGUUUUAAAAAAUAUUUUGCAGUUAAUUUGACGACUUAGUGCUAGAAGUUAAUCAAGCUUGCUUUGGUCGCAGGUGCGCAGCAAUUAUGUAACGUGUCCUCACGGUGUGGAAUUAACAAUGUAUUAUCGAAGAAGGACUUUUUUGCCAUUUUAUAACAGUAAAGAUAAAGUAAAGAUAAGUAAUAACUAAACAGCUUGUCCUGUGCUUAUUUUGGGUGGAAAAAUUUAUUAUAAAUAAAUGAUUAAAUAAAGUUAUUGCCAGAUUGACAUGACAUUUAUUUUUUGGAAGAUUUGGGCAGUGUAAAUGUCCUUGCUAAUUAGUCUGAACUAUCUUUUUUAGGCUGCUAUUAGUUAUUAGUAAUGUUGCUGUAGGUGUCUGUAGCUCUAGGUUUCACCUAAUAUAAAUAUAUAGUCUGUACAUGUUAGCCCUAUCAUAAUGAUUCUCUUUAGUGACAAUCAUAAUGUGGUUGAGAGAGAGAGAGAGAGAGAGAGAGAGAGAGAGAGAAGCAUGUUACAAAUCAAUUAUGUUAAAAUACUAAACACAAAUUUAAGGACCAAAAUAUUUCUCCUGUUUCACUGGUACUACUUACUUGCAUGUAGAUAGUACAAAAUAAUCACUAUUGUUAAUAUUUCCACCCUCUAUAAAAAAAAUAAAAGUAUAAACUCAUAGUUGAUUAAAUCAGUAAUGUUGUAAAAUGACUAAAAACAUUAUGGGGCCUUUUCAGGAGAUGGCAACAACAAGGUCCCGGAGGGCCAAACUAUCACCGAAGGAUGAAGCUGCAUAUUUUUCAUCCAUGUUUAAAGAUAAGGAUGGAUUUGAUGUAAAAUACAUCAAUUCAGUUAAAGGUCGAGGAGUGUUCAGUUGUCGCCACUUUCAAAAGGGAGAUUUUCUUGUUGAAUAUCGAGGAGAAGUCAUAACUAAACAAGAAUAUGAAAGAAGGCACAGAGUAUACCAUCGUGCGCUUGAAGUUUUUUUGUUUGAAUUUCGUUUUAAUGGAAAACAGUUAUGGGUUGAUGCUGCCAGAGAUGGCGGCUCUUUAGGGCGACUUGUCAACGAUGAUCAUAUGAACCCCAACAGCAAAAUGAAAACGAUCACAGUGGACAGAAAGCCCCAUUUGUGCUAUUUGCAAUAAAGGACAUCAGUCCUGGGGAAGAGAUUUGCUAUAACUAUGGGGAUUCUGACUGGCCAUGGAGAAGCAAGGUAACUUCAGAGACGCAACAGCAGUCAGAUGCUUUGGUCAGCUGUUUAGCAGCAGAGGAUGGAACAGAGAAGAUUUCAUCUGAGACUGAUCCUCAGCUGAGACUGAAUGACAACACUCAACAGAUUUCAUCCGAGACUGAUCCUCAGCUAAGACUGAAUGACAACGCUCAACAGAUCUCAACAACGUCUGAUCCUCAGCUGACACUUCAUGAUGUUCAACAGAAUUGCAAACAUGAUGUAAUCUCCUCAGUAGUAUCAAGCUUGGAUAAAUGUGACAGCUGUAGUGGACCCUUUUCUGCUUUUAAGUGGCUUGGUGUGAGAUGUAAGGGUAAGUAUUUUGUUUUGACAAGUAAAAUAUUUCUCUAAAUGUUUUAUGGUAAAACCCUAAAUUAUUGUGUAAAUGACAAAGCCUACAUGCUUUUUUUCCCCCCCAUCUAAAUGUAUCUUUAAUUUGGCUUGAAAAAGUUGACAUACUUUUGAGUUAAACGUAUCCUUUGUAUUCUUCUGAGCCCUUCUUCUGUCCAUCCAUCUCUCAGUCCAUCUCCUUAUUAAUGUCUUACUUUUCUCUCUUUUCUUUCUUGCUUCCUUCCUCCAUAUUUCUUUUU
Ictalurus punctatus (channel catfish) is the source of this 3662-nucleotide long non-coding RNA. RefSeq lists it as uncharacterized. The record is from RefSeq and is a predicted model, not a curated record. NCBI's taxonomy places the organism in Eukaryota, Metazoa, Chordata, Actinopteri, Siluriformes, Ictaluridae. The transcript has 8 exons.